Molecule: small nuclear RNA, 107 nt
Organism: Macaca mulatta (Rhesus monkey)
Lineage: Eukaryota; Metazoa; Chordata; Mammalia; Primates; Cercopithecidae
Source: Ensembl
GUGCCCACUUUGGCAGCACAUAUAUAAACUGGGAACAAUACAGAGAAGAUUAGUAUGGCACCUGCACCAGGAUGACAUGCAAAUUCUCUCUCUCUCUCUCUCUCUCU